Molecule: non-coding RNA, 389 nt
Organism: Pelobates cultripes (western spadefoot toad)
Lineage: Eukaryota; Metazoa; Chordata; Amphibia; Anura; Pelobatidae
Source: the annotation of a GenBank genome assembly
CUCUAAGUCCACCCUCAGUGGCUGUCUAACAGACAGCCACUAGAGGGCUUCCAGAAUCCAAACUGACGCUGGACGUCCUCACUGAACUCCAGCUUCAGAUUUUCCCCAUGCCUUGCAUGCGCAUUAGGUCUCCCGCACCGACGAGGGACAUCAGCGCUGGAUUUAGGCAAGUGGCUGAAGGGAUCGGGAGGGGAGGCGCUAUUAACCCUAUAGUGCCUGGAAAACAGCUUUGUUUUCCUGGCAUUAUAGUAUCCCUUUAAGCACCCAUUAUCGGUAACAUACUAAUUUUUCUGGUUCCAGGCCAAGUUCCCACAGGUAAUUACAAAACUUGUACAUCAUUUGGAUACUUGUUCAAAAAUCAAACCACCAUUUUAGAAUGGUUUGACUUC